UACUCCUUUGGGGGGGGCAGCAGUAGGGAAUCUUCCGCAAUGGACGAAAGUCUGACGGAGCAACGCCGCGUGAGUGAUGAAGGCUUUCGGGUCGUAAAACUCUGUUGUUAGGGAAGAACAAGUACGAGAGUAACUGCUCGUACCUUGACGGUACCUAACCAGAAAGCCACGGCUAACUACGUGCCAGCAGCCGCGGUAAUACGUAGGUGGCAAGCGUUAUCCGGAAUUAUUGGGCGUAAAGCGCGCGCAGGCGGUUUCUUAAGUCUGAUGUGAAAGCCCACGGCUCAACCGUGGAGGGUCAUUGGAAACUGGGGAACUUGAGUGCAGAAGAGAAAAGCGGAAUUCCACGUGUAGCGGUGAAAUGCGUAGAGAUGUGGAGGAACACCAGUGGCGAAGGCGGCUUUUUGGUCUGUAACUGACGCUGAGCGCGUAGCUACCCCCU
RNAcentral lists this ribosomal RNA (442 nucleotides) under Bacillus sp. (in: firmicutes). Its description in RNAcentral is "bacterial SSU rRNA". It matches the Rfam family "Bacterial small subunit ribosomal RNA", at positions 334 to 767 of the family's 1533-position model. The record is from RNAcentral. Lineage: Bacteria; Bacillati; Bacillota; Bacilli; Caryophanales; Bacillaceae.